UACGUAGGGUGCGAGCGUUGUCCGGAAUUAUUGGGCGUAAAGAGCUUGUAGGCGGUUUGUCGCGUCUGCCGUGAAAAUCCUGGGCUCAACCCCGGACUUGCGGUGGGUACGGGCAGACUAGAGUGUGGUAGGGGAGACUGGAAUUCCUGGUGUAGCGGUGAAAUGCGCAGAUAUCAGGAGGAACACCGAUGGCGAAGGCAGGUCUCUGGGCCACUACUGACGCUGAGAAGCGAAAGCGUGGGGAGCGAACAGG
Molecule: ribosomal RNA, 253 nt
Filed under: uncultured bacterium
Lineage: Bacteria
Description: partial 16S ribosomal RNA
Rfam family: Bacterial small subunit ribosomal RNA
Source: RNAcentral